AAGGUAGCUCAGCUGGCUAGAGCGCUGGUCUCAUAAGCCGGAGGUCGAGGGUUCGAGUCCCUCUCUUG
This 68-nucleotide transfer RNA is filed under the name uncultured Poseidonibacter sp. It matches the Rfam family "tRNA". Rfam says of the family: Transfer RNA (tRNA) molecules are approximately 80 nucleotides in length. Lineage: Bacteria; Pseudomonadati; Campylobacterota; Epsilonproteobacteria; Campylobacterales; Arcobacteraceae. The record is from RNAcentral.